ACGGAGGAUCCAAGCGUUAUCCGGAUUUAUUGGGCGUAAAGGGCGCGUAGGCGGACAUGCAAGUCGGAUGUGAAAUUCCGGGGCUCAACCUCGGAGCUGCAUUUGAAACUACAUUGUCUAGAGGGUAGGCGGAGAAAACAGAAUUCCACAAGUAGCGGUGAAAUGCGUAGAUAUGUGGAAGAAUACCGGUGGCGAAGGCGGUUUUCUAGCUUAUUCCUGACGCUGAAGCGCGAAAGCAAGGGGAUCAAACAGGA
This 254-nucleotide ribosomal RNA is filed under the name uncultured prokaryote. Its description in RNAcentral is "partial 16S ribosomal RNA". It matches the Rfam family "Bacterial small subunit ribosomal RNA", at positions 525 to 777 of the family's 1533-position model. The record is from RNAcentral.